This is an RNA transcript of Neoarius graeffei (lesser salmon catfish), 3799 nucleotides long. It is a transcript of the gene named splicing factor 3B subunit 2-like, with no coding region annotated. NCBI's taxonomy places the organism in Eukaryota, Metazoa, Chordata, Actinopteri, Siluriformes, Ariidae. The record is from RefSeq and is a predicted model, not a curated record. The transcript is spliced from 21 exons.
AUUCAUGAUGAGUAAGUGCUCCCAGGUGAGGUUUGUUUUGCCUGGCAACACUUGUUUUAAAAUAUGUUUCUGAUACUUCAGUAUGUGUAUAUUUACUGACUAAAUUAUAUAGAAUUGCUAUAAUUUACACAGAAUAUCCUCUGAGGAAAUCUAUCUGCUCAAACACAUUCACAUUUCUGAGGACUGUUGUGUGGAUGCGCAUGCGCGCCCCGUUCGCGUUGCCUGGACGUAUGCGGAAGUUCCCAUGAUCCUCUGCGCCAGAUCUGUGUGAAUGUGUUGUGUGCAGCGCGCUGUGUGCAAAUAAGAAAAUAAAGAUGGCGGCUGAUGGAAUCCCGGGCACAGAGCCGAACCCGGACCUGAACUCAUGGAGCGGCCCCGAGUUACAGGCCAAACUGACGGAGAUCGGAGCGCCUGUUAUGGGCCCGAGAGAAGAGUUAAUAGACAGACUGAAAUCCUACAUGAUGCAGACCGGUGUGAUGUUGACUAAACCCAGCUUGCCCGGCGGAGAUGACAAGGCCAUGACGACGAUGCCAGGUCUGCCUCCCAUGCUCCCAAUGCCGUCUAUGCCUCUGCCGCCAGGCAUGGGCGUGCUGCAGGCCAUGGGCAUAAUGGGAGGACCACCUCCACCUGGUAUCCGCAUGAGCAUGGAGCCACCGGGCAUCUCCUCUGGCAUGGCACAGGACGACCCGCAGAAGAUCGCUCAGAGGGCCGGUCAGGGCGAUUCCAGAGUGAUGGAGGAGCAGCUGAAGGAGCAGGAGCUUCUCGAGCAACAGAAGAGAGCUGCACAGCUGCUGGAGCACGAGAGGCAGCAGGAGCUGGUUAAGCUGCAGCAGGUGGGACCACCAGGCACCCGGGCCCCAGAAGCAGGACCUGCACCCAACCUGCUGCCCCCUAUUCCUCCACUCAGAGCCUUGAUAACCAGUGGCCCACCCCCUCCAGGCGUUUCCAUGGUACCGCAGAGCAGUCAGAGGCAGAGAGUACCACCUCCACCUGGAGAAGAUGCGAGAGAGGCGUGGCAGAGUGAUGAUGUGGGAGUCGGGCCGAAGAUCCCUCAGGCUCUGGAGAAGAUCCUGCAGCUGAAGGAGGUCCGACAGGAGCAGCUCACCGCCGCUCCUACAGAAGAGGAAGAUGACGACACGGCCGAUGUGGACAUGAACAGCUCUCGUCCGUACUCGGAUUAUGAAGAAGAAAGCACACUCUCUAAAAAAGAGUGUGGCACUGGGUCACUAGUGUUUAUUGAUGAUGUGACACAAGACAGAAGCAGCCGGAUGAAUUCUGAGAAAAGCCGCAGACACAGGAACCGGAAGAAGAAGAAGAAGAGGAGUCAGGAGAAGAAUGAUCAAGUGGAGGUGAGAAAGAACGAGGCUGAGAAGGACAAAGAGAAAGAUCACGCAGUGGAGAUCGAGUACGUCACCGAGGAGCCGGAGAUCUAUGACCCCAACUACAUUUUCUUCAAGAGGAUCUUCGAAGCGUUUAAGUUGACCGAUGAGGUGAAGAAAGAGAAGGAGAAAGAGCCGGAGAAGACUGAGAGGCAGGAAAUCACCUCGUAUAAGAAGAAAUUUUUAGAGGAAAAGAAAGACAGUGACGAGGAAACCAAACAGGAUGUGCCAAAACUCUCCAAGAAGAAGCUGAGGAGGAUGAACAGGUUGACUGUAGCGGAGCUCAAACAGCUGGUGGCUCGUCCAGACGUGGUGGAGAUGGAUGACGUGGUGGAGAUGCAUGACGUGACUGCGCAGGAGCCCAAGCUGCUGGUGCACCUGAAGGCCACAAGGAACACCGUACCCGUACCACGCCACUGGUGCUUCAAGAGGAAGUACCUGCAGGGGAAGAGGGGUAUCGAGAAACCACCCUUCGAGCUGCCCGAGUUCAUCAAACGCACCGGGAUCCAGGAGAUGAGAGAAGCCCUGCAGGAGAAGGAGGAUGCAAAAACUAUGAAGACCAAAAUGCGAGAGAAAGUUCGCCCAAAGAUGGGAAAGAUUGACAUCGACUACCAGAAGCUCCAUGACGCCUUCUUCAAGUGGCAGAUCAAGCAGAAGCUCACCAUCCAUGGAGACCUGUACUACAAGGGGAAGGAGUUUGAGACGCGGCUGAAGGAGAAGAAACCUGGAGAUCUGUCUGAUGAGCUGAGGAUCGCUCUGGGCAUGCCCACUGGCCCUAACUCCCAUAAGGUUCCUCCUCCAUGGCUUAUUGCGAUGCAGAGAUACGGUCCUCCCCCGUCCUACCCCAGUCUCAAGUUCCUGGCCUCAACGCCCCUAUUCCUGAGACUGCAUCCCGGUAGCUGUGUGAGGUGAACUGGAGGAUAAUCGCUUGAGGUUUGGAGUCGUCUUUCCAUUGGCUGACCGAGCCGAUGUACUGUGUUGAUCACCUCAGGAAACUUGGCCUGGUACUCGGCUUACACAUAAGAGGAAAUAUUCACCCAUGUGGAACAUUUUGAAAUGGUUCCUCCCAAUGAGGUGAAGUGCUUGCUGUGCCAGAAGGAACGAGUGUAGAACAAGAAUAUAUCAUCAGUGCUGAGGCAUUAUAGAGCUUUUCAUGAGAAUCAGCAGCCUGCCAACAGACCAGACACAAGCGACAAUUCCAGAAAAACAAAUGAUGGAUGAGGCCUUGGUUAAUAUGAUAAUUCCAGACACCCAGCCAUUGUCAGUGGUGGAAGAUGUGGGUUUGAUGGAGCUCAUGCACAUACUGGAACCCACUGAUCUUCUCCCUACUAGGAAGAUGUCAGAAUGUAGUGACAGUCAGCCUCACCUCUGAUAUCUGGACAUCCAUGAAUAUGGAGACUUACCUUCCAGUAACCUGCCACUUCAUUGAUGACAAUGACAGACUUGGAACAAUUUUGCUUGGAGCAGAACAUUUUCCAAGUCGUCACACAGCAGAAAAUAUGGCUCUGGCAAAAGCAAAAUUGAUGGAGGAGUGGGACAUAAAAGAAAAGGUGAAGUGUCUCAUCACUGAUGCUGCACCAAAUAUGAUAAGCUUGUGCCAAGGCAUUGCCUGUGAGACAUUCUGUUUGCAUCACACACACUUAAUUUAAUAGUGCAAAAGUCAUUUGACCAUGUCCCAGCCCUUAAAGGUGGAGUAUGAGAUUUUUUUCAGGAGUAUUUUUUUACCAUAUUGCUUGAAAAGCUCCUCACACCCAUGUUGCAAGCAGUACAAUAGAAGGUUUGACCCAAAAACGAAAUAUUUUAAUCCAGUCUACAGUGUAAAAGGAAAAAUGCCAUCCAAUCAUAUCGAGGUACCACCUCAAAAUGAUUGGAUACUGACACGUCAAUCAGACUGAAGCCCGAGCAGCCCGGCCCUUCUGUGUGUGUGUGUGUGUGUGUGUGUGUGUGUGUGUGUGUGUGUGAGAGAGAGAGAGAGAGAGCAGUGUCACACAAAAAGCACAGGAUUCUCUCAGUGCGCUUCCUCCAAACAACGGGGAUUUACACGAAAACGGAAGGAGAUAUUCACAAAAUUCUUUCACAGUGAGUGCCACAAGGCUUCCCUGAACACACUGAUGUAAUUUUUUUUGUCUGUAGUGUAAAAAAUGAGGUCACGAGAGCGAGUUAAAAACGAGUGACUUUUCUGGCAAGUUUUAUAAUGGAAGUCUAUGAGCUGGGCGGCUGUGCUCUCCUCACCUUCAGGCUUCUCAUUCAAAAACUGCACGUCCUAUCGUGUAGGUAGACACAUUGUGUGAAUCAGGACAAGUGUGGCUGCUACUUUUGAGAAAAUUGUGUGUGGAGUGAAAAUUGGGGCUGAAAACACAGUUUAAAUGAGAAAGUUUGAGCUAUUUUUCCAAGCUCUCUACACUCUGCUCUAAGGGGGA